CAGCCGCCGCGGUAAUACCGGCGGCCCGAGUGGCGGUCACUAUUAUUGGGCUUAAAGCGUCCGUAGCCGGGUUGGGAAGUCCUCCGGGAAAUCUGGCCGCUUAACGGUCAGAAUGCCGGAGGAUACUCCCAGCCUAGGGAGCGGGGGAGGCCGAGGGGAUUCCCGGAGUAGGGGGGAAAUACUAUAAUCCCGGGAGGACCACCUGUGGCGAAGGCGCUCGGCUGGAACGCGUCCGACGGUGAGGGACGAAGGCCAGGGGAGCAAACCGGAUUAGAUACCCGGGUAGUCCUGGCUGUAAACGAUGCGGACUUUGUGUCGGACAAGCUAUGAGCUUGUCCGGUGCCGGAGGGAAACCGUUAAGUCCGCCGCCUGGGGAGUACGGCCGCAAGGCUGAAACUUAAAGGAAUUGGCGGG
This 414-nucleotide ribosomal RNA is filed under the name uncultured microorganism. RNAcentral describes it as "bacterial SSU rRNA". It matches the Rfam family "Archaeal small subunit ribosomal RNA", at positions 459 to 872 of the family's 1478-position model. The record is from RNAcentral.